GAAAAGAGGAAGGAGGGCUCUCGGCGGAAGAAAAGAAAGGGGGAGGGAGAAGUCUCGGCAGGAGAAAAGAAAGGGGGAGGGAGAGCUCUUGGCUUUGACCUUGGAAGGAACAACGAGGCCAAAGAGAUGCCCCACCGCUGCACCUCGUCGUCACCUGCGCCAAAAGCAAGCCUCCGAGCAAGACACCUCUUAAACCCUUUUCUUUUUACUCCUUUAAAUCUGUAUAUGCAGCAGGUGUAGAAACAGACGACGUUGGAGGCUUGGACCUUUGACCAGAAUGGGUUAGACAGUACACUCCUAAGGACCUUCCGAUUCCGCAUAAAGAAUAAAUAAACAACGUUUAUGAUUUAGAGAGAAUAAUGUAGUUUCCAAUUUAGAUCCCCAGGAUGUAUGACUGGUUUAUUAAUUACAAAUAAUUUUCUUAUUUAUUGGAAUGUUAUAUGAUGCGUGGAAAAAAAAAACUUAGGAUUGUUUCAGUUGGUAUCAGAGCAAGGAUCUUAUAAGGGAUGAGUACUGCCAGUUUCGGGAAGUCCAAGAGCUGAGCUCCAAGUCUAUGAGUUAUUAUCGCUUUGAAUUGUAUAUGCUGAAUUUAAAUGCUUAUAUGUUAUAAAAGUUAGGCGGUUAAAUGUUUCGAA
Long non-coding RNA from Zingiber officinale, 635 nucleotides. RefSeq lists it as uncharacterized. Lineage: Eukaryota; Viridiplantae; Streptophyta; Magnoliopsida; Zingiberales; Zingiberaceae. The record is from RefSeq and is a predicted model, not a curated record. The transcript is spliced from 2 exons.